Picea glauca (white spruce) is the source of this 119-nucleotide non-coding RNA. The record is from Rfam. NCBI's taxonomy places the organism in Eukaryota, Viridiplantae, Streptophyta, Pinopsida, Pinales, Pinaceae.
GGGUGCGAUCAUACCAGCGUUAAUGAACCGAAACCCAUAAGAACUCCGCAGUUAAGCGCGCUAUGGCUAGAGUAGUACUGGGAUGGGUGACCUCCCGGUAAGUCCUAGUGUUGCACCCU